CGGGGCCGGGGGGCGCGGGGCCGGGGGCCCCCCCCGCGGCGGAGACUUCGCCUACGCGCACCUGGCCUGGCUCAUCUACUCCAUCGCCUUCACGCCCAAGGCGGCGCUGAUCCUGGGCACCUCCAUCCUGGAGCUGAUCGAGCUGCGCCUGCCGCUGGGCACCACCGGCUUCCGCAUCACCCUGGCGCUCUCCGCCCCGCUGCUCUACUGCCUGCUGCGGGCCAUCGGCACCGAGGGCUCCGGGCAGCUGCUGCUGCCCCCGCAGCCGCCGCCGCAGCACCGCGCCGCCGCCGCCUUCCUCGCCACCUGCCUCGACCUCCUCGACAGCUUCUCCCUGCUCGAGCUGGUGCUGCAGCCCGGCCGCCCGGCGCCGCUGCCCGCCCCGCUGCGCUACCUCCUCAUCGCCGUCUAUUUCCUCUGCCUGGCCUCGCCGGUGCUGUGGCUCUACGAGCUCAGCGCCGCCCGGCCGCCCGGAGCCGCCCGCCUCGCCCUGCACCUGCUGCUGCCCGCCGGGCUGCUGGACGCCCCGCUGCUGGCCCUGCGCUGCCUCCUGCUCCUGCGCUACCAGCAGCCGCUCUCCCUCUUCAUGCUCAAGAACCUCUUCUUCCUCGCCUGCCGCGGCCUCGAGGCGCUGGAGACCUGCUGCCUCCUGCGGCCUGCCGCCGCCCCAACGCCCGCCAAGUACGGAGCCCCCGCCAUGCCCCCCGCUGCCGCCGCCCCGCUGGCCCACGGGCUCUCGGACGCCGACGUGGGUCCCCACGGGUAUGUCAACGCCUUGGCGGUCACUGCCCAGGGCUGAGACCCCACCGCCGCCGACAAUGCUACCGCUCCUCACCACGAGGCUUCUUCCAGGCCUCCUGCCCCUCCGUGACGCUCGGAGGAGCCCACCCUUUCCCCCGCCAAGACACCGGGUUGCUGCGUGACCAUUGGGGUCCAGUUUCCCUUUCCUUCCCUCAACGGCAGGGACCGUUGGAUAUUUUCCCCCUCGUUUGGGAACUCCUGCUGACUGUGGUGAUGGGAUCCGAGUGGGGCCCAAACGACAGCCACGCGCCUUUGGGGUGCGCGCAGGGCAAAGGAAGCGCUCCCUGGUUCCAGCAGGUCUCCCAGCGCCGCCACCUCUGCUUCAAUACAGAGCCUGAGGGGGUCGGGGAGAAGCAGCAGCCGGGGAGCCUCUGGAAGCAACCUGCUCGUUUCAAGCCUAGGAGACCCUUCCUCCUAGCUGAAAAGUCUACCUCUGUGCUCCAACCUGUCGCGUCUUACGUUGACUUCACACGCUAUGGACCAGGUCCAGGGGCUCACACCCCAUUUCACUACCCCCGAGACAUUUAUUUCUGGUGA
This 1338-nucleotide long non-coding RNA is filed under the name Anser cygnoides (Swan goose). RNAcentral describes it as "lncRNA (ENSACDG00005000029.1)". The record is from RNAcentral. Lineage: Eukaryota; Metazoa; Chordata; Aves; Anseriformes; Anatidae.